UGGGGAAUUUUGGACAAUGGGCGAAAGCCUGAUCCAGCAAUGCCGCGUGUGUGAAGAAGGCCUUCGGGUUGUAAAGCACUUUUGUCCGGAAAGAAAUCCUUGGCUCUAAUACAGUCGGGGGAUGACGGUACCGGAAGAAUAAGCACCGGCUAACUACGUGCCAGCAGCCGCGGUAAUACGUAGGGUGCAAGCGUUAAUCGGAAUUACUGGGCGUAAAGCGUGCGCAGGCGGUUUGCUAAGACCGAUGUGAAAUCCCCGGGCUCAACCUGGGAACUGCAUUGGUGACUGGCAGGCUAGAGUAUGGCAGAGGGGGGUAGAAUUCCACGUGUAGCAGUGAAAUGCGUAGAGAUGUGGAGGAAUACCGAUGGCGAAGGCAGCCCCCUGGGCAAUACUGACGCUCAUGCACGAAAGCGUGGGGAGCAAACAGGAUUAGAUACCCUGGUAGUCCACGCCCUAAAACGAUGUCAACUAGUUGUUGGGGAUUCAUUUCCUAGUAACGUAGCUAACGCGUGAAGUUGACCGCCUGGGGAGUACGGUCGCAAGAUUAAAACUCAAAUGAAUUGACGGGGUCAUAGCUGUUUCCU
RNAcentral lists this ribosomal RNA (584 nucleotides) under uncultured bacterium. RNAcentral describes it as "partial 16S ribosomal RNA". It matches the Rfam family "Bacterial small subunit ribosomal RNA", at positions 355 to 1375 of the family's 1533-position model. The record is from RNAcentral.